This 253-nucleotide ribosomal RNA is filed under the name uncultured prokaryote. RNAcentral describes it as "partial 16S ribosomal RNA". It matches the Rfam family "Bacterial small subunit ribosomal RNA", at positions 524 to 776 of the family's 1533-position model. The record is from RNAcentral.
UACAGAGGUCCCAAGCGUUGUUCGGAUUCACUGGGCGUAAAGGGUGCGUAGGUGGCGAAGUAAGUCGGAUGUGAAAUCUCCGAGCUCAACUCGGAAACUGCAUUGGAAACUACUUUGCUCGAGGGUUGGAGGGGGGACUGGAAUACUUGGUGUAGCAGUGAAAUGCGUAGAUAUCAAGUGGAACACCAGUGGCGAAGGCGAGUCCCUGGACAACUCCUGACACUGAGGCACGAAAGCUAGGGGAGCAAACAGG